Molecule: transfer RNA, 107 nt
Filed under: Malassezia globosa
Lineage: Eukaryota; Fungi; Basidiomycota; Malasseziomycetes; Malasseziales; Malasseziaceae
Description: tRNA-Ser
Rfam family: tRNA
About the family: Transfer RNA (tRNA) molecules are approximately 80 nucleotides in length.
Source: RNAcentral
GACAAGGUGCCGGAGUGGUUAACGGGAACGCCUAGAACUUGGUUCUACACCGACUGGUGAUAAGCGUUUGGUCUCUGACCGCACAGGUUCGAAUCCUGUUCUUGUCG